UACGUAGGGUGCGAGCGUUAAUCGGAAUUACUGGGCGUAAAGCGUGCGCAGGCGGUGAUGUAAGACAGAUGUGAAAUCCCCGGGCUCAACCUGGGAACUGCAUUUGUGACUGCAUCGCUGGAGUGCGGCAGAGGGGGAUGGAAUUCCGCGUGUAGCAGUGAAAUGCGUAGAUAUGUGGAGGAAUACCGAUGGCGAAGGCAGCCCCCUGGGAGUAACACUGACGCUCAUGCACGAAAGCGUGGGGAGGCAAAC
This 252-nucleotide ribosomal RNA is filed under the name uncultured bacterium. RNAcentral describes it as "partial 16S ribosomal RNA". It matches the Rfam family "Bacterial small subunit ribosomal RNA", at positions 524 to 774 of the family's 1533-position model. The record is from RNAcentral.